Molecule: long non-coding RNA, 369 nt
Organism: Phlebotomus papatasi
Lineage: Eukaryota; Metazoa; Arthropoda; Insecta; Diptera; Psychodidae
Exons: 2
Source: RefSeq, a predicted model, not a curated record
UUGUCAAAUUCUACUUUGUUUACUAAGCAGAAGUUCAUCUGCGAGUGAAAAUUUGUGAAAAAAGUGAUGUCUCACAUUAAUUAGAAUCCUGAAAUGGACCAGCGUGUGCAGAAAAAUCGAGUAUACAGAUAAAAGGCAUUAAAUUUUACAAAUGUACCGCAAGUACAAGCGUUAGGACAGCUUCCAGAUCAUUUGUUAUGAAAUCAAAUUGCAGAAUGAGUGCCCAGAAUGCAGAAAAAGUUUAUAAAAAGCAUAAUCUUUCAUUGUUUUGACAUUUUUGCUGUGUAGUGAUAUUAUUGACGUAAGAAGUUUACAAAAUGUAAAUAUGAUAUACAACAUCUUGUAAAUAUAAUCACUAAAAUAUAUAAA